RNAcentral lists this unclassified non-coding RNA (339 nucleotides) under Hevea brasiliensis (rubber tree). Lineage: Eukaryota; Viridiplantae; Streptophyta; Magnoliopsida; Malpighiales; Euphorbiaceae. The record is from RNAcentral.
AAAAAAAAAAAGAUGGCCAAAAAUCCAAUAUACAGAGUACAUCAUGCUUAAAAAAUUAGUCAAUUUAUAGAUCAACAGUAUACUGUUUAGACAGAGCAUGCUUAACCACAUUCACAUUACCACAAAAAUUACAACUGAGAUAAGGCUACAUGGCCACACACGAUUAAUGAGGGAUUACAACUGAGAUUUGGCCUUUUUCUGCUACGAUUAACACAUUUCUAUUUGCAUUUAACACAUCAAACGAGCCUACAAGACCUAGUUGACAUUAAUUUUAAGGAGAAAUACAGCAACCUGGGACAUAUGUUCAAAAUUCAGUGAGACAUACCUGAAAUAUGUCAG